Non-coding RNA from Alligator sinensis (Chinese alligator), 56 nucleotides. The record is from Rfam. NCBI's taxonomy places the organism in Eukaryota, Metazoa, Chordata, Crocodylia, Alligatoridae.
UGGUUCAGUAGUAGAACUCCUGUCUGCCACACAGGAGACCUGGAUUCAAUUCUCGG